Long non-coding RNA from Papaver somniferum (opium poppy), 2038 nucleotides. RefSeq lists it as uncharacterized. NCBI's taxonomy places the organism in Eukaryota, Viridiplantae, Streptophyta, Magnoliopsida, Ranunculales, Papaveraceae. The transcript is spliced from 4 exons. The record is from RefSeq and is a predicted model, not a curated record.
AAUUUUUUUUAAUUUUUAAUUUUUUAGUUUUUUUUUAUGGGUUGUAUACCUUCGAAACUUUGAUUCUUAAGUAUCAAUCAGGGUCUUGCUGUUCUAGGAAGAACCUUUUUUUUUUGGGUUGUUGGAUUUUUAAGGGCAUCUGUUUCUUCCUUCCUUCUGAUCCGUUUUCAGUAAAAGUUGUUUCUUUUAAAUCUAAGGUUUCCACAGCAUCUGAAGUAUUUAUUGUUCUGAUUCGUUCGAUUUAUUUAAUUCAGUUUAGAUCUCUUAAUUUGAUGUUUUUUUUUCCUUAUUCUUUGUUCAUCUUCCUUUAUCUGAUGGAUUUUCAUGACGAUUUACAGAUAGGGUUGCUGAAAUUGCUAAACCAAAAGCACAGAUGAAGGGCCCGAUUAAUUUGACCUAAAUUGCAAAUAAACAGAAACCCUCGCCUCGCCCAUGAUCGAGAAGAAAUUAGGGUUCAUAUGUAUGGUUUGAUUUGGAUUUUGCAUUGUCUGUAAAUGCUAAUUUAAUUGUGAGGUUUUAUGUGUUACUCCAGUUUAAUUUGGGUAGAUGCGGGUACAUGGUUUGAGCUCCAGCAAAAAGAAAAGGAAAUGGUACCUGUACAGGCAGAAAGAAAAGGGUAUCUGCAGAUGCUUAUUAAUUUCAAUUUAUUUGUUGACAGAUGUUAAUCCGGAUCAAAUCAUUGUUGACAGAUGCUAAUUGGGAUCAAAUCAAUUUAUAUGGUAUCUGCAAAACUGCCAAAGUAGAAUCCCAUAGCAUAAACUUCUAAUCGUUUCCUGUGACAGAUGAUCCAUUGAUAAACAAUUUCAACCCAUUUGCAGCAUAAUAGUGAGGCUUUUUUUUUUUUUUUGCUCAGUAAAUAGUGAGCUUUUAUUCAGUGGUAAGAACCAUUAUGAUACUCCAUGAGAGUUUGUUAAAUGUAUUUAGAAAAACUGUAUUCUUUGUUUGGAAAUGUGUACUUAAAUUACAAUGAACUCCAUAAUUAGAACUGCAUUACAAGUUUAAGCAAUGCCGGUAAGGAUCUUGGCCUAAUGGUUAUGCUGCCAAAGUUACUUUUUUUUUAUUCCACUGAUGGGCAGUGAUUUUACAGGGCCUAAUGGAUCAUGCUACCUACUAAGGAAUCGGAAAUGAUAAUUUGGGGAACAAGGACGGAGCUGAUGCUGAAGAUAAUGAUAUUGCCCAUCAAAGAUUGGUAAUGGCGGUGCUCAAUAAACUAUCUGGAUUUUCUUAUAACAUUUCUGGGGGGAGAGUUACAAUGCAUAUGUACAAGUUUGACAACUUUGAAGCAUAAGUGCAGUUCAUUUACACAACGUGAAUGAUAUAGAUUAAUGAAGAAUCAACUCAGCAGCAAGUGAAGCACCUUGCAACAAGCAUAUCCAGUGCUCUAAGAAAAAGAUUGAUCUGGGAUUUAAAAUCAGAACGGGCCUAAUGGUUCAUGCUACCUACUAUGGAAUUGAAAAUGAUAAAUUGGGGAACAAGGAUGGAGCUGAUGUUGAAGACAAUGAUAUUGGAAUAGGAAGCACCUUUGCAGUUUAUAAGAUCAGUGGUAGUGGCUACAAUGAGGUAGAAUCAACGGCAGCUGAAGUUUAUGUGAACGGUGUUAAGUAGAGAACUCCAUUGUUGGGUAAAUGAAUGAUGAAAAUGGUGGUAAUGAUUUAACUUAUAUUACAGAAGAUGUUAAUGCUGCGGAAGUUGUUUUUGAAAGGCUAAGAGAGGUGUGGAUUCCACUAUAGCUAAGAAUGUAUCGCUUACAUCAACAUUGCUGUCAGUUGUUUGUUUUGAAAACUGAAAAGAAACUCAAUGUUUGGUAGAUGCCUGCCCAGUCCUGAGAUUCUUUUGGAUCAUAUUUGAUAAGUAAUAACUAUAAUUCAUGUAUGAAAUGUUACCUGUAAACUAGCUUGGGUGGAAACCAUUUUGAGUUCACCGGGUGUUACUAUUCUUUUCAUUUUUCUUUAGAUGUUACAGCAGUUGAGUGCUUCGAGUUCUUAAACCAUAUUUGUUUGUAGUUUGUGCUUCUUCAAUGGUAUUAACAAGAAUGGGG